UUAAAGCUCCCUUCGGGGAGUGCAUAGAGUGGCGCACGGGUGAGUAACACGUAAGUAAUCUACCUUUGAGUGGGGAAUAACCCGGGGAAACCCGAGCUAAUACCGCAUAAUGCAGCGGCACCGCAAGGUGACAGUUGUUAAAGGAGCAAUCCGCUUAAAGAGGAGCUUGCGGCAGAUUAGCUAGUUGGUAAGGUAACGGCUUACCAAGGCUACGAUCUGUAUCCGGUCUAAGAGGACGGUCGGACACACUGACACUGAAUAACGGGUCAGACUCCUACGGGAGGCAGCAGUCGGGAAUUUUGGGCAAUGGGGGAAACCCUGACCCAGCAACGCCGCGUGAAGGAUGAAGUAUUUCGGUAUGUAAACUUCGAAAGAAUAGGAAGAAUUAAUGACGGUACUAUUUAUAAGGUCCGGCUAACUACGUGCCAGCAGCCGCGGUAAUACGUAGGGACCAAGCGUUGUUCGGAUUUACUGGGCGUAAAGGGCGCGUAGGCGGCGUGGUAAGUCACUUGUGAAAUCUCUGAGCUUAACUCAGAACGGCCAAGUGAUACUGCUGUGCUAGAGUGCAGAAGGGGCAAUCGGAAUUCUUGGUGUAGCGGUGAAAUGCGUAGAUAUCAAGAGGAACACCUGAGGUGAAGACGGGUUGCUGGGCUGACACUGACGCUGAGGCGCGAAAGCCAGGGGAGCAAACGGGAUUAGAUACCCCGGUAGUCCUGGCCCUAAACGAUGAAUACUUGGUGUCUGGAGUUUUAAUGCUCCGGGUGCCGUCGCUAACGUUUUUAGUAUUCCGCCUGGGGAGUACGCUC
RNAcentral lists this ribosomal RNA (806 nucleotides) under uncultured Bacillota bacterium. RNAcentral describes it as "bacterial SSU rRNA". It matches the Rfam family "Bacterial small subunit ribosomal RNA", at positions 68 to 887 of the family's 1533-position model. Lineage: Bacteria; Bacillati; Bacillota. The record is from RNAcentral.